This 466-nucleotide ribosomal RNA is filed under the name uncultured bacterium. Its description in RNAcentral is "partial 16S ribosomal RNA". It matches the Rfam family "Bacterial small subunit ribosomal RNA", at positions 28 to 507 of the family's 1533-position model. The record is from RNAcentral.
GAUGAACGCUGGCGGCGUGCUUAACACAUGCAAGUCGAACGGAAAGGCCCAAGCUUGCUUGGGUACUCGAGUGGCGAACGGGUGAGUAACACGUGGGUGAUCUGCCCUGCACUUCGGGAUAAGCCUGGGAAACUGGGUCUAAUACCGGAUAGGACCACUUCUUGGAUGUUGUGGUGGAAAGUUUUUUCGGUGUGGGAUGAGCUCGCGGCCUAUCAGCUUGUUGGUGGGGUAAUGCCUACCAAGGCGUCGACGGGUAGCCGGCCUGAGAGGGUGUACGGCCACAUUAGGACUGAGAUACGGCCCAGACUCCUACGGGAGGCAGCAGUGGGGAAUAUUGCACAAUGGGCGCAAGCCUGAUGCAGCGACGCCGCGUGGGGGAUGACGGCCUUCGGGUUGUAAACUCCUUUCGCUAGGGACGAAGCGUUUUGUGACGGUACCUGGAGAAGAAGCACCGGCUAACUACGUG